GGCCGGCCAGCAUUUAACGGACACUGAUGCUGUGGAUAUAUCUUCAUGGAUGUCUCUCCUGAGUUUUUGACAGCUGACAGCUUUACUCUCAGGACAUUAUUCGGCCGACAACCAGGACCUGCUAAUGAAGUUAGGUGAGGCAGGUGUAAUGGUGACUGAAGUCGAAGCCCAGAGAUUCAGAGGUAACAGCAGUGUAAUGGUUCUCAAUCUGGCUUGAGGGAAAUCCCUACUGUCUAAACUCUACCUGGAAGCAAGACCAGAGGCUCUCACAGAGGAUCUACCAGAUAUCGACUUAAGAGCAACCCUCAUCUUUCUGCCACACAUCUUCAAGGAGAACAUUGAGUGCUUUAUUAUAAAGUUCCUGCCACUCCAUACUCAACUAUCCAGUUGACGGAUGAAGACUUGAAAAUGGCCUUCACUAGGAGAGCUCCGAAUGUUGUGAAAGUGGACGGCAUCGAGUCACAGCUCAGCAAUUGACGAGGGAAUGUUUUGGCAAAUCAAGUACAUUUUGAACAUCGAUACCUUGUGGAUUCUUUAUGGUAAAAUGUUGGUUCCUCUGUCACUUUCAUGCAUAAAGUGUAAAGGUUGAUUGAGAAUGGACUUUACUAAAACCAGGUGAUGAAAUGGACUACCGAAUAUUUGACACUUAUUCUGUGGAUAACAGUUUUAUGUCACACUUCAACAUAGUAUUUAAAAAUGUACAAAAUUGACAAAAUCAUGUGAAAAUCUUAGAUCUUCUGUCAUGAGUGUUAUUUUCAUUUAUGCAGUUUUAAGGUUGGUGGAGAAUGGACUUGCUGGCAAUGGACAAUUUUACAUUGUUUAGUGUAGAUGAUAUAAAGUUGAAUACACAGUUUUUUGACAAAAUUCAUAGCAAAGCUCAGUAAAAGAGUUUUGGGAAGUUUAACACAUAAUAGAGCACGAACUUGAAAUUGUUUUUACACCCGGUUACUAAAUGAGGCCGGUCAUUAAUAGGGGC
Centropristis striata (black sea bass) is the source of this 976-nucleotide long non-coding RNA. RefSeq lists it as uncharacterized. The record is from RefSeq and is a predicted model, not a curated record. NCBI's taxonomy places the organism in Eukaryota, Metazoa, Chordata, Actinopteri, Perciformes, Serranidae. The transcript is spliced from 5 exons.